GUCUACGGCCAUACCACCCUGAACGCGCCCGAUCUCGUCUGAUCUCGGAAGCUAAGCAGGGUCGGGCCUGGUUAGUACUUGGAUGGGAGAGGGUAGAUAACGUGAAUUUUAGAUU
Panthera pardus (leopard) is the source of this 115-nucleotide ribosomal RNA. NCBI's taxonomy places the organism in Eukaryota, Metazoa, Chordata, Mammalia, Carnivora, Felidae. The record is from Ensembl.